GGAAGUGAGGGUGACCUGGCUACUAUAGCAGCUCAUCUGCUACCCUACUGAAUGCCAGAGUUGAUUUGGCUACUCUGGCUGGCCAGGCUGGUGUCAUCCCUAACCUCCUGUUCAUGUAUGUUCAUGUAAUUCCCAAAGUGAAGCUUGGGCUUUCUCAGAGAUUCAUCUUCACCUAUAGAAAAGGACUGUACUAUGCCAAGGGAACAGGCCUAUCAGCACUUGCCUGCUACAUUCUCCAAGCAAUCUGUCAGGGUCCCUUUGUAGAAAACUUUGAGCAGUUAAGUUGCUCCAGACAUAUCCAAGUGAAGCAUUGCUUGGAAAAGUCAGCCUUUCUU
RNAcentral lists this small nuclear RNA (335 nucleotides) under Sorex araneus (European shrew). Its description in RNAcentral is "7SK RNA (ENSSARG00000019764.1)". It matches the Rfam family "7SK RNA". From Rfam's summary of the family: 7SK was discovered as an abundant small nuclear RNA in the mid-70s but a possible function has only recently been suggested. Two independent studies have found that 7SK RNA binds the CDK9/cyclin T complex (known as elongation factor P-TEFb). Lineage: Eukaryota; Metazoa; Chordata; Mammalia; Eulipotyphla; Soricidae. The record is from RNAcentral.